RNAcentral lists this ribosomal RNA (108 nucleotides) under uncultured bacterium. Its description in RNAcentral is "partial 16S ribosomal RNA". It matches the Rfam family "Bacterial small subunit ribosomal RNA", at positions 1365 to 1482 of the family's 1533-position model. The record is from RNAcentral.
AAUACGUUCCCGGCCUUGUACACACCGCCCGUCAAGCCAUGGAAGCUGGGGGUACCUGAAGUCGGUGACCGCAAGGAGCUGCCUAGGGUAAAACUGGUAACUGGGGCU